This 458-nucleotide ribosomal RNA is filed under the name salal root associated fungus UBCtra1322.2. RNAcentral's name for it is "eukaryotic LSU rRNA". It matches the Rfam family "Eukaryotic large subunit ribosomal RNA", at positions 80 to 542 of the family's 3401-position model. Lineage: Eukaryota; Fungi; Ascomycota. The record is from RNAcentral.
CUAGUAACGGCGAGUGAAGCGGUAACAGCUCAAAUUUGAAAUCUGACCUUCACGGGUCCGAGUUGUAAUUUGUAGAGGAUGUUUCGGAUAAGGCUUUGGUUUAAGUUUCUUGGAACAGAACGUCAUAGAGGGUGAGAGUCCCGUCUAGAACCGAUAGCCGCGUUCAUGUGAAACUCCUUCGACGAGUCGAGUUGUUUGGGAAUGCAGCUCAAAAUGGGUGGUAAAUUUCAUCUAAAGCUAAAUAUUGGCCAGAGACCGAUAGCGCACAAGUAGAGUGAUCGAAAGAUGAAAAGCACUUUGAAAAGAGAGUUAAACAGUAUGUGAAAUUGUUGAAAGGGAAGCGCUUGCAACCAGACUUGUGUUUAACGGUUCCCCUGUGUCUUUUGACCAGGCUAUUCCGUUAUAUCCAGGCCAGCAUCGGUUCGGGUGGUUGGUUAAAGGCCUUGGGAAUGUAUCUA